Molecule: non-coding RNA, 2201 nt
Organism: Salvelinus sp. IW2-2015
Lineage: Eukaryota; Metazoa; Chordata; Actinopteri; Salmoniformes; Salmonidae
Source: RefSeq, a predicted model, not a curated record
ACGAGAUCUGGAUGUAUUGUACGAGGCUAGUUGUGAACGGAAAGCGACUUUGUAAUUUUAAGUACAGCAGCUUUCAAAUUACAAUUGACACACUUGCGCUACAAUCAAAUACAUACUUCCAUAAUUGAUGUGUGCACGACCGCUUGCAUUUGUUUAUUUAGCACAUAUUGGACCGCCUGCAAGCACAUUUGCACGCGCUUAUUUGACGCGUUUAGGGGUUAAUUUAGCGCCUGCGCCUGCUUACUUUACACGCGUAGCAUUAACAAGAUUGCGUUUUGACCACGUGCUGUAAGACCCAAUCGGCGUUCCAUAAUAUUGAAGCAUGUCGAGGUAUCGUCCAGGCACAACGGACGACUGAUUGAACGACACAUUUGGAGGUGGCAGUUGAGUUGCCUGCUAAUCAACAUUAGCUAUAUUGAGAGCUGUCAAGCUAGCUAGUUACUUGUCUGUCACAUUGGACACAAGGGACUGUGGACGAGUGGCUCUACCGCCAGCUACAUCCUAUUAUUUUGCACUCAGUUACCAUGUGGCCCUGCAUAACAAUAUUUAGGCCGCUUCUAUUGAAAUUAAGAAGCGGGUAUGCUUUCUCCAAGGGCACUCAGCCAACGUUAGUGUCACCAAGCAAACUGAUCUUCAGACCUAGUGCAUCAUGUACAGGGGCGGGAAGAAAUGGGCUCGACCAACAGAAUACUUACUACACGGGGUUGAAGACCUACAACAGCCUCCCACAACCAGAAAGAUCCACUGGUAUUGGCUCAGGAAGGAAUUGCUACUUGAAAAACAGUCCUGGCCAGAAUGUACGAGGAGGAAUUUAAAAAUGACAUGUUAGCCGUGAAGGUUGUUCCUCCUGCUGUGCACUUGAGAGUCACUAAGAAUAUACUGCAAAUUGUGGCUUUCAUCGAGGGCAUCAUCAGAAAUGAACACGCCUAUGUCACAAAACAAGGGACGUGUAUUUCGAUAUCAGGUCCAUCGGGGACCGUUACGGCAAGCUUAUGGGGGCUGGCGAUGCAGCUGGUGAGCCUGGGGACACAGAGAAACGAAACAGCAGGGAUUUUGCCCUGUGGAAGGCUUCCAAACCGCAGGAGCCCUCCUGGAAGUCUCCCUGGGGCAAGAGAAGACCCGGCUGCCACAUCGAAUGCUCCACCAUUGCCAGCUCUGUGUUUGGAAGUCAGCUGGAUAUUCACUCUAGGGGUGUUGAUCUGGUCUUCCCUCACCAUGAGAAUGAGAUCGCCCAGUGUGAGGCCUACCGCCAGUGUGGCCAGUAAGGGAACUACUUCCUGCACUCAGGACUUCCUAGAAUCUUACUCCGCCAAUGAAUUCUGAAUGUUCUGCCUGCUGACCAAAUACAGAUCAGCAAUCAACUACAGUGACGCCAGCUUGAACGAAGCCUGGAGCUCCCUGGCAACCACUACUGCCUUCACCCAUGAUGCCCAGGCCUACAUGAGGGGCCAGCUACAGUGCCAGGCUGUGCAGGAGGGGGCAUUAUGGAAAGGUUAGCUGAAACCAAAGCAAACGUCGUCAGAUGACUUUGAAACGCCAAGGGUCGUCAACGCCAUCAUGAGCCUUGUUUACCAUGGGAACCGCCAUCUUCAGCCCAUCACUAAGGAGGCUCAUUCUGUAGAUUCUUCGGGGACCCUAGAGAACAUGGUGGAGCAGUUGGCUCGGUUCCGUAGGGAUGUGCGGACCUUCGCUUUGUCCGUGGAAGACACGCCCCUUGGAGAGCCCACCCAUCCCAGUCCAAGACCACACUCAGAAAGGGUACCCCUCAAAGCCUGUGACACCCUGCGGGAAAGACCUUGCACCUUUGGGAGUGCACAUAAGGGGUCACAGACAGCUGUUGUGCUCAAGUUCACAAGUGAAGGACCGAGGCCCCAAGUCCACGUGGGAGAUUUCUCAGAAGAKGCCAGCUGGCCAGGAUAAGGAAAAGUAGAACAGAAUUGCAAACAGAAUGAGCUUAGAUUUUGAGUUUUGUAUGUCCUGGUUUGGAUGAAGAUUAAGGACUACCACAAAGACUGAGAGACAUGGAAUUGUGGGUUGGAGCUGCAAUGAUGUUGUUGGCGGUUUACUCAAAACUUUGGAAGGAUUGGUAUAAUGGAAUUUCAGUCAUGGGUAGGGUUGUACAUUUUGUGGAAUAUUCAGAGGUGGAAAUUUUCCAUUGGAAUUAAUGGAAGUAUAUGCAAAUUAAUAUGAAUACUGUUUAA